RNAcentral lists this ribosomal RNA (465 nucleotides) under Vreelandella stevensii. RNAcentral describes it as "partial 16S ribosomal RNA". It matches the Rfam family "Bacterial small subunit ribosomal RNA", at positions 338 to 795 of the family's 1533-position model. The record is from RNAcentral. Lineage: Bacteria; Pseudomonadati; Pseudomonadota; Gammaproteobacteria; Oceanospirillales; Halomonadaceae.
CCUACGGGGUGCAGCAGUGGGGAAUAUUGGACAAUGGGCGAAAGCCUGAUCCAGCCAUGCCGCGUGUGUGAAGAAGGCCUUCGGGUUGUAAAGCACUUUCAGUGGGGAAGAAAGCCUUGGGGCUAAUACCCUCGAGGAAGGACAUCACCCACAGAAGAAGCACCGGCUAACUCCGUGCCAGCAGCCGCGGUAAUACGGAGGGUGCGAGCGUUAAUCGGAAUUACUGGGCGUAAAGCGCGCGUAGGCGGUCUGAUAAGCCGGUUGUGAAAGCCCCGGGCUCAACCUGGGAACGGCAUCCGGAACGGUCAGGCUAGAGUGCAGGAGAGGAAGGUAGAAUUCCCGGUGUAGCGGUGAAAUGCGUAGAGAUCGGGAGGAAUACCAGUGGCGAAGGCGGCCUUCUGGACUGACACUGACGCUGAGGUGCGAAAGCGUGGGUAGCAAACAGGAUUAGAUACCCUGGUAGUC